CAACGAUAUUUAAAAGAUUUUUGUGAACAAGAACUAGUAACAUUAUUACUAUUAGAACUUUUGGAAAACAGACAGCUAGGGAUUGACUGCUUGGCAGCAGAAAGUAAAAUAUUACAAAAGGAAUUAAAAGCAUCUAUUGAAGAUAAAGUGUCAAAUUUAACAUCAUCCAAAUAAGAAACAACUAAGUUACUAUACAUAUUCCAAUUCACCUGCUUAUAAUUAGGGGAGAUGAUAACUACUGCCCAGAGGACUGUCAAUAACUGACCAGUCACAUAAAAGAGCCAAUGAUGGAGUUACCAAAGUCAAGUCAAGAGCAUUAGGACGCCAAGAUGGAGAUCCUAUUGUGGUAGCUUGACCAUUAUUCAGAAUAACAAGACCAUUCUCAUCUAUAACCUCUAAAACAUCUUUACCUCGAGGCAAUGUAUCAACACAUCCCCACAACAUGUGAUGAGCAUUGAAAUCACCUGCAAAUAUCAUUGGCUCUGGAAUGGACUUAAUUAAACCAUUUAAAUUGUUUUUAUUAAAUAGAGGAUUUGAAUUGGAAGGACUGUAAAAACUCACAAUACUCAGUUCUUUGUUAUUAAUUUUAAUUUUAAUGCAAACAUUUUGUAGAGCACUAUCAAAAUAUGUAUUUAUGUUAGAAAAUGUGAUAUUAUUAUGAAUAAAAAUUGCUACACCAUUGUGUUUAUUACCACAA
Molecule: long non-coding RNA, 697 nt
Organism: Leptidea sinapis
Lineage: Eukaryota; Metazoa; Arthropoda; Insecta; Lepidoptera; Pieridae
Exons: 2
Source: RefSeq, a predicted model, not a curated record